GACGAACGCUGGCGGCGUGCUUAACACAUGCAAGUCGAACGGAAAGGCCCUGCUUUUGUGGGGUGCUCGAGUGGCGAACGGGUGAGUAACACGUGAGUAACCUGCCCUUGACUUUGGGAUAACUUCAGGAAACUGGGGCUAAUACCGGAUAGUAGCUCCUGCUUCAUGGUGGGGGUUGGAAAGUUUCGGCGGUUGGGGAUGGACUCGCGGCUUAUCAGCUUGUUGGUGGGGUAGUGGCUUACCAAGGCUUUGACGGGUAGCCGGCCUGAGAGGGUGACCGGCCACAUUGGGACUGAGAUACGGCCCAGACUCCUACGGGAGGCAGCAGUGGGGAAUAUUGCACAAUGGGCGGAAGCCUGAUGCAGCAACGCCGCGUGCGGGAUGACGGCCUUCGGGUUGUAAACCGCUUUCGCCUGUGACGAAGCGUGAGUGACGGUAAUGGGUAAAGAAGCACCGGCUAACUACGUG
Molecule: ribosomal RNA, 468 nt
Filed under: uncultured bacterium
Lineage: Bacteria
Description: partial 16S ribosomal RNA
Rfam family: Bacterial small subunit ribosomal RNA
Source: RNAcentral